UUCUGACCGUAAACGAUGCCAACUAUCAAUCCGCCAGUAGCUUUCGGUUAUUGGCGGGCGGAUCGACGGAAACGAAAGUCUUUCGGUUCCGGGGGAAAGUAUGGUUGCAAAGCUGAAACUUAAAGGAAUUGACGGAAGGGCACCACCAGGAGUGGAGCUUGCGGCUUAAUUUGACUCAACACGGGAAAUCUCACCCGGCCAGUACAUCGUGAGGAUUGACAGAUUGAAAGCUCUUUCAUGAUUCGAUGAAUGGUGGUGCAUGGCCGUUCUUAGUUCGUGGCGUGAGUCGUCUGCUUAAUUGCGAUAACGAGCGAGACUCCCACUGUUAAAUAGCACGAGUUUUCGUCCGCGUCAGCUCGAGGCUUCUUAACUGGAUUCGAGCCUUCAAGGCUUAAGAAAUGGAGCAAUAACAGGUCUGUGAUGCCCUUAGAUGUUCGGGGCCGCACGCGUGCUACAAUGAUGGUAACAGCGUGAUUGUCCUCGCCCGACAGGGCUUGGCAAACAGUUGAGAUAUUAUUAUGGCUGGAAUUGAGUGUUGAAAUUAUCGCUCAUGAACGAGGAAUUCCAAGUAAAUGCGAGUCAUCAACUUGCAUUG
This 595-nucleotide ribosomal RNA is filed under the name unidentified nematode. RNAcentral describes it as "bacterial SSU rRNA". It matches the Rfam family "Eukaryotic small subunit ribosomal RNA", at positions 1024 to 1643 of the family's 1831-position model. Lineage: Eukaryota; Metazoa; Nematoda. The record is from RNAcentral.